GAUGAAGAACGUAGCGAAAUGCGAUACUUGGUGUGAAUUGCAGAAUCCCGUGAACCAUCGAGUCUUUGAACGCAAGUUGCGCCCGAAGCCACUAGGCCGAGGGCACGCCUGCCUGGGCGUCACACGCCGUUGCCCCCCAUCUACUCCUUCGGGAUUGCGGGGGGGCGGAUGAUGGCCUCCCGUGCGCCUAGCCGCGCGGUUGGCAUAAAUACCAAGUCCUCGGCGACGCACGCCACGACAAUCGGUGGUUGCGAAACCUCGGUUGCCCGUCGUGUGCGUUCGUCGCGCAUCGAGGGCUCGAAAAAAUGCUCGGCUCCGGCUGGGCUUUCAACGCGACCCCAGGUCAGGCGGGGUUACCCGCUGAAUUUAAGCAUAUCAAUAAGCGGGA
RNAcentral lists this unclassified non-coding RNA (388 nucleotides) under soil metagenome. RNAcentral's name for it is "partial contains 5.8S ribosomal RNA, internal transcribed spacer 2, and large subunit ribosomal RNA". The stretch from base 1 to 122 matches the Rfam family "5.8S ribosomal RNA", at positions 35 to 154 of the family's 154-position model. The record is from RNAcentral.